Molecule: ribosomal RNA, 385 nt
Filed under: Eristicophis macmahoni (leaf-nosed viper)
Lineage: Eukaryota; Metazoa; Chordata; Lepidosauria; Squamata; Viperidae
Description: partial 16S ribosomal RNA
Rfam family: Bacterial large subunit ribosomal RNA
Source: RNAcentral
GGCAAAAUGAGAGUCCGACUGUCUCUUAUAACGAAUCAAUUAAACUGAUCUCCCAGUACAAAAGCUGGGAUCUUUAUAUAAGACCAGAAGACCCUGUGAAGCUUUAACUAACCUAUUAAACCCCAUAAUAACUAGUUUCGGUUGGGGCGACCUCGGAAUGAAAAAGAACUUCCAAACAUAUGACUCACCCAUACAAAGGCAAACAAGCCAAAUUGACCCAGUAUACCUGAUUAAUGGACCAAGUUACUCCAGGGAUAACAGCGCUAUCUUCUUCAAGAGCCCAUAUCAAAAAGAAGGUUUACGACCUCGAUGUUGGAUCAGGACAUCCUAGUAAUGCAACCGUUACUAAGGGUUCGUUUGUUCAACGAUUAACAGUCCUACGUGA